AAAAAAAAAACCCUUAGGUUCGGAAUAACUCCCCGAAAGGGGUGCUAAUACCGGAUAAUGUCUUCGGACCAAAGAGUUAUCGCCUUUGGAUUGGCCCUCGUUGGAUUAGCUAGUUGGUAGGGUAAAAGCCUACCAAGGCUACGUUCCAUAUCUGGUCUGAGAGGAUGAUCAGCCACACUGGGACUGAGACACGGCCCACACUACUAAGGGAGGCAGCGGUGGGGAAUAUUGGACAAUGCGCGAAAGCCUGAUCCAGCAAUGUUUCGUGAAUGAUACGGCCCCCACGGUUAUCAACACUCGUU
This 302-nucleotide ribosomal RNA is filed under the name uncultured bacterium. RNAcentral describes it as "partial 16S ribosomal RNA". It matches the Rfam family "Bacterial small subunit ribosomal RNA", at positions 119 to 436 of the family's 1533-position model. The record is from RNAcentral.